CAGUCGCCACGGUAAUACGUAGGGUGCAAGCGUUAAUCGGAAUUACUGGGCGUAAAGCGUGCGCAGGCGGUUAUAUAAGACAGAUGUGAAAUCCCCGGGCUCAACCUGGGAACUGCAUUUGUGACUGUAUAGCUAGAGUACGGCAGAGGGGGAUGGAAUUCCGCGUGUAGCAGUGAAAUGCGUAGAUAUGCGGAGGAACACCGAUGGCGAAGGCAAUCCCCUGGGCCUGUACUGACGCUCAUGCACGAAAGCGUGGGGAGCAAACAGGAUUAGAUACCCGGGUAGUCCCUGUAUCUUAUAC
RNAcentral lists this ribosomal RNA (301 nucleotides) under uncultured bacterium. RNAcentral describes it as "partial 16S ribosomal RNA". It matches the Rfam family "Bacterial small subunit ribosomal RNA", at positions 509 to 807 of the family's 1533-position model. The record is from RNAcentral.